This 177-nucleotide non-coding RNA is filed under the name Mycobacterium sp. Lineage: Bacteria; Bacillati; Actinomycetota; Actinomycetes; Mycobacteriales; Mycobacteriaceae. The record is from RNAcentral.
GCAGGUUAGACGUGCGUCGCGAGAGGGAACCCGGUGGGAGUCCGGGACUGUCCCGCAGCGGUAUGCAGGAACGACCGCCGUCACAAGCACUGGUCUGAGAAACAUCGGAGACCGGGAAGCGACGGCCACUAGGAGCACCACCGCGGUGCGCGCCUGCGAGUCCGAAGACCUGCCAGC